CUUGUUCCUGCAAGAGUGACGGGCGAUUUGUGCAUAAAGAUAAACUUCUUCAAAUUCAAAUUCUAUUGCUUAUUUUGUUCCAAAUCCUUUUUUUUUUUUCUUUCUUAUUGUUCAAAUUCUCUCAACCUUUUGUAUCCCACCUCUAUCCUUUUCAUCUCUUUUAUCUUGAUUUGUUAACUUAUUGAUUUAUUUUAAAGCUAAAGUUUCCGCUCAUGCUUCAACAAUGAUAUAAAAAGUUAAAGGCAAGGUUCAUUUAAUCGUGGGCUAUCGAUUAUAGGGCAGGAUCCUCUGUAAAGUUUCUUUACCGCCAUCUCGUUUAAAUUUCGUCUAUCUAAUUACUUUCUCUUUUCUUUUUAGGA
Molecule: ribosomal RNA, 359 nt
Filed under: Aculus lespedezae
Lineage: Eukaryota; Metazoa; Arthropoda; Arachnida; Trombidiformes; Eriophyidae
Description: partial small subunit ribosomal RNA
Source: RNAcentral